UACGGAGGGGGCGAGCGUUAUUCGGAAUUAUUGGGCGUAAAGGGCGCGUAGGCGGCUGGGCAAGUCAAAGGUGAAAUCCCUCGGCUCAACUGAGGAACUGCCUUUGAAACUGCCUGGCUUGAGGCCGGGAGGGGGUAGCGGAAUUCCCAGUGUAGCGGUGAAAUGCGUAGAUAUUGGGAGGAACACCGAUGGCGAAGGCAGCCCCCUGGGUUAACACUGACGCUCAGGCACGAAAGCGUGGGGAGCAAACAGG
RNAcentral lists this ribosomal RNA (253 nucleotides) under uncultured bacterium. RNAcentral's name for it is "partial 16S ribosomal RNA". It matches the Rfam family "Bacterial small subunit ribosomal RNA", at positions 524 to 776 of the family's 1533-position model. The record is from RNAcentral.